This 466-nucleotide ribosomal RNA is filed under the name uncultured soil bacterium. Its description in RNAcentral is "bacterial SSU rRNA". It matches the Rfam family "Bacterial small subunit ribosomal RNA", at positions 26 to 497 of the family's 1533-position model. The record is from RNAcentral.
AGAUUGAACGCUGGCGGCAGGCCUAACACAUGCAAGUCGAGCGGCAGCACGGGUACUUGUACCUGGUGGCGAGCGGCGGACGGGUGAGUAAUGCCUAGGAAUCUGCCUGAUAGUGGGGGAUAACGUUCGGAAACGGACGCUAAUACCGCAUACGUCCUACGGGAGAAAGUGGGGGAUCUUCGGACCUCACGCUAUCAGAUGAGCCUAGGUCGGAUUAGCUAGUUGGUAGGUAAAGGCCUACCAAGGCUACGAUCCGUAACUGGUCUGAGAGGAUGAUCAGUCACACUGGAACUGAGACACGGUCCAGACUCCUACGGGAGCAGCAGGUGGGGAAUAUUGGACAAGUGGGACGAAAGCCUGAUCCAGCCAUGCCGCGUGUGUGAAGAAGGUCUUCGGAUUGUAAAGCUAAGUUUAAGGUGGAAGGAAGGCAAUUAACCUAAUUACGUUAGUGUUUAGACGUUACGAC